RNAcentral lists this ribosomal RNA (201 nucleotides) under uncultured bacterium. RNAcentral describes it as "partial 16S ribosomal RNA". It matches the Rfam family "Bacterial small subunit ribosomal RNA", at positions 1300 to 1500 of the family's 1533-position model. The record is from RNAcentral.
GUAGUCUGCAACUCGACUACAUGAAGCUGGAAUCGCUAGUAAUCGCGAAUCAGCAUGUCGCGGUGAAUACGUUCCCGGGUCUUGUACACACCGCCCGUCACACCAUGGGAGUCGGAAAUGCCCGAAGCCAGUGACCCAACCAUAAGGAGGGAGCUGUCGAAGGUGGAGCCGGUGACUGGGGUGAAGUCGUAACAAGGUAGC